GACGAACGCUGGCGGCGUGCCUAAUACAUGCAAGUCGAGCGGGGAUGCGAAGGAGCUUGCUCCUGAGCAUCCUAGCGGCGGACGGGUGAGUAACACGUAGGCAACCUGCCCGUAAGACCGGGAUAACCCACGGAAACGCGGGCUAAGACCGGAUAAGCGGUUUUCUCGCAUGAGGGAAUCGGGAAAAGAGGAGCAAUCUUCUGCUUACGGAUGGGCCUGCGGCGCAUUAGCUAGUUGGUGGGGUAACGGCUCACCAAGGCGACGAUGCGUAGCCGACCUGAGAGGGUGAACGGCCACACUGGGACUGAGACACGGCCCAGACUCCUACGGGAGGCAG
RNAcentral lists this ribosomal RNA (337 nucleotides) under uncultured Bacillota bacterium. RNAcentral's name for it is "bacterial SSU rRNA". It matches the Rfam family "Bacterial small subunit ribosomal RNA", at positions 28 to 351 of the family's 1533-position model. Lineage: Bacteria; Bacillati; Bacillota. The record is from RNAcentral.